RNAcentral lists this transfer RNA (82 nucleotides) under Microcystis elabens FACHB-917. RNAcentral describes it as "tRNA-Leu". It matches the Rfam family "tRNA". Rfam says of the family: Transfer RNA (tRNA) molecules are approximately 80 nucleotides in length. Their secondary structure includes four short double-helical elements and three loops (D, anti-codon, and T loops). Lineage: Bacteria; Bacillati; Cyanobacteriota; Cyanophyceae; Chroococcales; Microcystaceae. The record is from RNAcentral.
GCCCACCUGGCGGAAUCGGUAGACGCGCUGGAUUUAGGUUCCAGUGGCUCAGGUCGUGGGGGUUCGAGUCCCCCGGUGGGCA